This is a long non-coding RNA of Cucurbita moschata (crookneck pumpkin), 1261 nucleotides long. RefSeq lists it as uncharacterized. The record is from RefSeq and is a predicted model, not a curated record. The transcript has 5 exons. NCBI's taxonomy places the organism in Eukaryota, Viridiplantae, Streptophyta, Magnoliopsida, Cucurbitales, Cucurbitaceae.
AGUGUUGAAAUCAUCUCGUGAUAAACACGAUACUUCGGGAGCUACCAGAAAUUUAGAGAAGGAAUUAGUUAAUGGCGCCUUUCAUCAAGAACGAUUAAGAACGAUUAAGAACUGUAUUUCAUCUGUUCGAGAUACUAGGGCGAUGUAAGAAAAUUGGUUUGAUUCAUGGUUGACACUGAAACUGAUGCUUACUCUAGGUCGAAGUAACCAGGAGUGGCAGCCACCAUUGUGGACAUGCGAGUCUUGCUACCAUCAUUGGAAACUCUUGGAGAGCCCGAAAUCUGAGUUCAGGUGGAAGUGGACCUGUGAGGUGGUUUUUGUCUAAUUUUCUGCAAUGGGUCAGAAAUAUAUCAUAUUUCUGUGGUCUAUCAGAUUUCCCCACAAAAAUUUGUCCAAUCCAAGCAUCUUACAUGACUUGAGGCUUGUCAUAUUGGCCAAGAAACCAGGGAAAAUAAAAGAAAAACAAAGCAAUGAAAUUGAUGACGCUUAAAACUAGUACUUACUCUGGAUCGAGGUAACCAGGUGUGCCAGCGACAACCGUGGACAUGUGGGUGUUGCCAUCUAUGGGAAAGCUUUUGGAAAGACCGAAAUCGGCAAGUUUGCCUUGGAAAUUAUCUGUCAACAAGAUGUUUGUUGUUUUCACAUCUCUGUGAACUAUUGGUGGCUUACAACCGUAAUGCAGUUGUCAAGAACUUAGCGGUGAACAACAGAAAUUCAUACGGUUUGAUCAGCUUGCAGCAGGAGAGGUAUUAUUCAUAUUCAUUUGAAUGUUUUCCUUUCAUAGGAUUGAAAACCAUCUCCAUGUUUGUCCAAUGAAUGCCAUUCCACCAUUGGAGGCAACUCAAUUGGUAUAGGAAUUGAAGGUACAAACUUGACUGCAUAAGUUUUUUUCUUUUCUUUUUCUGUACGUCCCAAGUUUUACUCAAGACUACAAAAGAAUGGGCACAUGGGAAGCCGUAGACUUUGUGGAGUCAAUGGCCGCAUUAGCUUUAAUCUUCACAAAUACGUGUGGAAUAAAAGGAUGUGGGCUAUAUAUAUAUAUAUAUAUAUGUUGUGAAUUUGUUUAAUUUAAAUAGUGAACUUAUCUGCUAGUUUUGUUGCUUGAUCUGACAGAUGAUGAAUGAUAAGUUUUGACUUGGUAAUCAAAUGUUUAUUGCUAAUGAUUGCUAAUUUAGCUUGUUGACUUCACUCAAUUAUAUUAAUUUUACAUUAAUUUUUGAGAUCAAACUAAUGUGAGCAUUUCAUUCUUUUUCCUUCUCCU